Molecule: ribosomal RNA, 116 nt
Filed under: Dipodomys ordii (Ord's kangaroo rat)
Lineage: Eukaryota; Metazoa; Chordata; Mammalia; Rodentia; Heteromyidae
Source: RNAcentral
UUCUAGGGUCAUACCACCCUGACCACGCCCCAUCUCACCCAAUCUCGGAAGCUAAGCAAGGCCAGGCCUGGUUAGUACGUGGAGGACAAUAGGAGAGAGGUGAUGGGAACUGGAUC